Long non-coding RNA from Drosophila ficusphila, 975 nucleotides. RefSeq lists it as uncharacterized. NCBI's taxonomy places the organism in Eukaryota, Metazoa, Arthropoda, Insecta, Diptera, Drosophilidae. The record is from RefSeq and is a predicted model, not a curated record. The transcript has 2 exons.
AUAUUUCCCAAUCAAGGUCUUUCAAGGUGUCCUUCACCAGUUUAGCGGUAUGAGACGGCGCGUUGUCAUGUUGCAAGAUAACUUUGCCAUGUCUUCGGGCCCAUUCCGGCCGUUUUUCGAUCAACGCAUUAUUCAAAUUGAUAAUUUGUUGUCGGUAGCGAUCCUUAUUAACCGUUUCACCAGGUUUCAAUAACUCGAAGUACACCACACCACACUGGUCCCGCACUGGUGCCGCAAAUGCGAUUUACUUGGAACGAAACUCGACAUAUUCACUGAGGUUAAUGUCAACAGAAAAAAAUGACACAUAUGCUGAAUGAUACAAAUGUACUAGUACUGCUAGCGACAUCUAACAGUCAAACCGGCAAACUUCAACUAACACCCCUGGUAAAAGCGUGGUGUAAUAACCUUGGAGUCUCAUCUAAAGGAAAUAAAACGGAACUCUUAGCAAGAAUUAUGGAAAUUCCGCAAAAUGAACGCGGCUCGUGUCCAGAGUUAGGCACACCGCUUAAAAGUACACCAAAAAGUAUUGAGUCUAAUAAAAGUAUUGAAAAAAGUAAUGAAAAUUAUUGCGAAGUUGUAAAAAGUAAUGCAAAUGAACUAAAUGUGUCGAUUGAGAAAAGUAAAGACCUUGAAAAAAGUGAAGCAACUGAAAUGAAAAAGUAGCCGAAAAUGUAAGCGACUGCGACGGCGCCAUAGGCUGUCGCGACUGUUGUGAAAUUCCGAUGAGCAGCCGCGCAGCUGCAAAAAUGUAUGUUGCAGAAUAUGUAGGCAGCGCAGCCGCGUUGCCCAGCGACGAAGUAGAGGAGAACGAAAAUGAAAAAGUACCGUUUGACGAAUGUGAGGCAAAAUGCAGUACGGUGGCUUCUGGCUGCGGUGUACAGUCAAAUAAAGAUGAUAUGUCAUGUUGUAUUAAAACUACAAUGCGAAAAUGCUGAGCUACGCAAUAAAUGUAUGGUGCCUUUUGAGACAAUUAAA